This is an RNA transcript of Gastrolobium bilobum, 2003 nucleotides long. It is a transcript of the gene named pentatricopeptide repeat-containing protein GUN1, chloroplastic-like, with no coding region annotated. The transcript is spliced from 4 exons. Lineage: Eukaryota; Viridiplantae; Streptophyta; Magnoliopsida; Fabales; Fabaceae. The record is from RefSeq and is a predicted model, not a curated record.
UUAUUAUUUCUCACUUCUUCGUCUUCCAUAGAGCUCGGUCCUUAGAUUCUUCAAUGGCGAGGUCAUCUCGCUGUAAUGGAGUUGUGAGAGAAAAUCGAGGUAACCUACUUGGUACGUCCCCCUUGUAAGCGACAUGUGCUUUAUUUGACUCACUCGUAAAAGCUACGGAAUUUGGAAUUCGGGAAACUCAUCUCCUGCUUGAAUUGAAUGAACACAGCCAUUGCAAUUCAUUUGAAGAUGCUUCCAAGAUAUUAGAUGAGCUCCGCAUAUUUGAUAACCAGGUGUAUGGUGUAGCCCAUGGACUCCUUAUGGGUUUCAGGGAAAACAUAUGGUUUCAGGCUCAAUCUCUAUUUGAUGAAAUCAAGCGUAUGGAUUCUUCAACAGCAUCUGCCUUUUAUAAUGCCCUUACAGAUAUGCUGUGGCACUUUGGUCAGGUAAAGUUGAAUUUUCAUCUUUUAGUUUUGUGAUAUGCUUACUACACAGGUAGUAUAAAUGCCUCAUCAGUGAGUAUGUGGAUGAUUAGAAUUAGAGGUUUAUAGGAGUUGAACCUUUUCUUUUGUGUUAAUCUGACUUUCACAUUUUCUGUUUUUAUAAUAAAUUGAAUUUGACAUUAGAAACGAGGGGCUCAGCUGGUUGUCCUUGAAGGGAGACGCAGAAAUGUGUGGAAUGGUGACUGGUCUGAUUCUUGCUUGGAUCUACAUCUUAUGUCUUGUGGUGCUGCUUGUGCAAUGGUCCAUAAAUUUUUUAUAAUACCAUCUUCAAAUAAGGGGAAUAAAAGCUUUGAUGCCUACUAGAAGUGCCUUUACGUAUGUAGGCUUUAGCAAGUGGAUGGAUACACACUGACGUAUUUUCUUUGAUUAUUUAUUCGAUUAUAUUUGUCAUUACCUUUUAUUUGAUUAUAUUAUAUUUUCUUUUUUUAUUCAGCAAUAUAAGAAUGCUUAUUCUGUUACAGCAAUAUAGGAUCUAUAUCUUUCCUUUUAGUAUUCUUCUGAUAUAUACACACAAAUGUAGUCCUUCUCAGUUCUGAUAUAAAAAAUUGAAUACACCUGGCCUCUUCUUUCAUUUCGCUUUUCUAACAUGUUCAUUUAAUUAUAGAGUUACUACUCAAAAUCCAGGAGGAGGAACUAAAUUCCAUUCUUGGGAAAAUGAGAAGGAAAUGCACUUCUUUUGGAUUUGGUAAUUUAGUAGGUGUCUAUCAAUGAUGGAAAGUAUAUCUUAGCAUGAAAAGAUAUGUUGUUGCUGCUUUAGCAAAUCGAUGUGACCCUUUACAAUGGUACCAAGUAUAUUUAGUGAUCUUUAUGUACUUUCUUCAAAGUAUGGUCUUGACCGUUUAUGCAUGCUUAUAGCUAGCUUAGAAUACACCAUAUCCUCAUAUUAGCAUUUUGUUGGACAGCACUGUAACUGUACGAAGAUACCUAAUGGCACCAACCAGGGCUUAAGGCAAAUGCUUGCAAUCUGAAAAUUGCACAUCUAUGAGUUUCUUAUCCCCUCCCCCUUAAUCUGUUUCUUGUGUUUGAUAUAAGACAGAUUUAAUAUCUGCUCCUCUAUGAGUGAAAAGUAUGUAACUAUAGAUGUUGAUAACUAAUUUAUUUUUGAUUGCAACACUAAUUUAUGCAGUUUUUCUGUCUCUUUUUUCCAUAUUACGAUGUUCCAAAUUCAUCAGAUCCUUUCAUAUAUCUGGCUACAGCACAGAUUAAGGCAAUGCUAAAUAGAUUAAAAGUCUCUAUUUAUGACUUGGAGCAAGGGGUCUUUAGUGUUGGUAUGAAGGAGGGUCUCAGCAUACUAAAAGCUUCAUUGACCUCAACAUCUGAGACAAACGGUCUCAACCAAUAUGUGAAAACCAUCAAGGAAGAGAAUUGACCAAGUAUUUUCGUUUUAUCUAAAAUUACUGAGAUCGUCGGUGGUAAAAAAAUCAAUACCUAUUUUAUUCCCUAGCUGUGUUAUAAGUUGAUGUUUGAGAUUAAUUGAUGGAAACCAUUUCAUUAAAUAUUUUGUUGUGUUUC